UCUUUUCACUAGGGGGGCCGCACGUGCGCGGCUGAGAUGGAAUGAAUCGAUUCCGGACUCUUUGUACCUGAUCUGGGUUAUACCAGCGUAGGGAAGUGGGGAACUGAUAUG
Molecule: non-coding RNA, 111 nt
Filed under: Paenibacillus sp.
Lineage: Bacteria; Bacillati; Bacillota; Bacilli; Caryophanales; Paenibacillaceae
Also listed under: 1 other name
Description: TPP sequence
Rfam family: TPP riboswitch aptamer (THI element)
About the family: Vitamin B(1) in its active form thiamin pyrophosphate (TPP) is an essential coenzyme that is synthesised by coupling of pyrimidine and thiazole moieties in bacteria. The previously detected thiamin-regulatory element, thi box was extended, resulting in a new, highly conserved RNA secondary structure, the THI element, which is widely distributed in eubacteria and also occurs in some archaea.
Source: RNAcentral